CAGCCUGUAGUCUAGUGGCUAAGAUGUAUGUCUAAGACCCCUGAGGUUGGUGGUUCAAGCCCCAGUCCAGCCACA
Molecule: transfer RNA, 75 nt
Filed under: Albula goreensis
Lineage: Eukaryota; Metazoa; Chordata; Actinopteri; Albuliformes; Albulidae
Description: tRNA-OTHER
Source: RNAcentral